Non-coding RNA from Trichobilharzia regenti, 45 nucleotides. The record is from Rfam. NCBI's taxonomy places the organism in Eukaryota, Metazoa, Platyhelminthes, Trematoda, Strigeidida, Schistosomatidae.
AUCCAUAUGAUGAGUUCCAAACAGGAUGAAAUGCGCAUCCUGGAU